This is a regulatory RNA element of Cavia porcellus (domestic guinea pig), 275 nucleotides long. It matches the Rfam family "Mason-Pfizer monkey virus packaging signal". Rfam says of the family: The packaging signal is located in the 5' UTR and is required for specific RNA encapsidation. The record is from Rfam. NCBI's taxonomy places the organism in Eukaryota, Metazoa, Chordata, Mammalia, Rodentia, Caviidae.
AGAUCCCCAAUGUGGGACCUGAGAAUGGGGGACUUCGUGAGGGAAGCUAUUUGUGGGCCCAAAGUAGAAAAAAGAAAAGGAAAUAGAGGACCUGGCAACAUGGGAGCCUGCCAUGCUGCUAAACCUUGGUAAGUGAAGAGAGAUUAUGGAACAAGAAAUGAGCCAGCAUGAGAUUUUUGUUGUAAAUUUAGGAAAGGCUUUAAAGGCACAGUAAGUAAAGGUUAAAAUUAAGCAGUUAUGUCAAUAUUUUGAUUUUAUAAAGGAAGUUUUUCCCU